This 261-nucleotide unclassified non-coding RNA is filed under the name Hevea brasiliensis (rubber tree). Lineage: Eukaryota; Viridiplantae; Streptophyta; Magnoliopsida; Malpighiales; Euphorbiaceae. The record is from RNAcentral.
GUAUUAGAUAUUGUUAUUGGCGGCAGGGGCAACCGGGGGCUUUUUUGCUUUCCGUCAUCAGAACGGCCUGUAGGUGACUCUAUGUUAGUGCCUCCAGCUCUUGGAUGCAGAGGGGUAACAGCACCACUGUGUAUUCUGGAGCUGGGACCAGGACUUGUCAUUCUGGGGCUAGGUAUAGGAGAACACUCAGGGCUACAUCUACUGUUUUGCCAAAAUAACUGUCCUGACAUAUCACCACCUAUUGAGUUAUGCCCAGAAUUA